This 448-nucleotide ribosomal RNA is filed under the name uncultured organism. RNAcentral's name for it is "partial 16S ribosomal RNA". It matches the Rfam family "Bacterial small subunit ribosomal RNA", at positions 335 to 799 of the family's 1533-position model. The record is from RNAcentral.
ACUCCUGCGGGAGGCAGCAGUGGGGAAUAUUGGACAAUGGGCGCAAGCCUGAUCCAGCCAUGCCGCGUGAGUGAUGAAGGCCCUAGGGUUGUAAAGCUCUUUCACCGGUGAAGAUAAUGACGGUAACCGGAGAAGAAGCCCCGGCUAACUUCGUGCCAGCAGCCGCGGUAAUACGAAGGGGGCUAGCGUUGUUCGGAUUUACUGGGCGUAAAGCGCACGUAGGCGGACUAUUAAGUCAGGGGUGAAAUCCCGGGGCUCAACCCCGGAACUGCCUUUGAUACUGGUAGUCUUGAGUUCGAGAGAGGUGAGUGGAAUUCCGAGUGUAGAGGUGAAAUUCGUAUAUAUUCGGAGGAACACCAGUGGCGAAGGCGGCUCACUGGCUCGAUACUGACGCUGAGGUGCGAAAGCGUGGGGAGCAAACAGGAUUAGAUACCCCUGUAGUCCCAUG